RNAcentral lists this small RNA (804 nucleotides) under Histoplasma capsulatum. RNAcentral's name for it is "hypothetical RNA". Lineage: Eukaryota; Fungi; Ascomycota; Eurotiomycetes; Onygenales; Ajellomycetaceae. The record is from RNAcentral. RNAcentral also lists the same sequence under 1 other name.
AUCACUGCUAAUCUAUCACUGCUAAUCUAUCACUGCUAAUCUAUCACUGCCAACCUAUCUACCACUGCCAAUCUAUCUAUCACUGCUAAUCUAUCGCUGCCAACCUAUCUACCGCUGCCAACCUACCUACCGCUGCCAACCUAUCUACCGCUGCCAACCUAUCUACCGCUGCCAACCUAUCUAUCGCUGCUAAUCUAUCACUGCUAAUCUAUCGCUGCUAAUCUAUCGCUGCUAAUCUAUCGCUGCCAAUCUACCUACCACUGCCAAUCUAUCUAUCACUGCUAAUCUAUCGCUGCUAAUCUAUCGCUGCUAAUCUAUCGCUGCUAAUCUAUCACUGCUAAUCUAUCGCUGCCAACCUACCUACCGCUGCCAACCUAUCUAUCGCUGCCAAUCUAUAUAGGGUAAAUCAUGGUCCCAUUUGGUCCCAUUUUGUAAAAUGGGACCAAAUGGGACCAGAAUCAUUAAUUUAUUAGUAAAACAUGAUCUGGGAUUAGAUUUAUAAUAUAAACAGUGUAAAGUGACUAAUUUGCUAAACACUAUAUGGGACCAGGACUAAGAUAUCUAAUAAUGGGACUGAGGAAAAAUUUGGUCCCAGUCCCAUGCAUGGUCACACAGCCAGUCUACUGAUGGCUCAAAAUAUGAGAAAACAGGCAAUUUUGAAGCUGAAAUAGCAUACUCAGAAAAUGAUUCAAAUUAUUUCUUUGAUUCUUGAUAGAUUGAAAAAGAAUCAGAGGUUUUUGAUGCUGAAUUGUUUGCUAUUUUAAGAGUCUUCAAAUUAAUUGAAUUGAAAAUUGAACAGUGGAA